This 239-nucleotide ribosomal RNA is filed under the name uncultured bacterium. Its description in RNAcentral is "partial 16S ribosomal RNA". It matches the Rfam family "Bacterial small subunit ribosomal RNA", at positions 15 to 233 of the family's 1533-position model. The record is from RNAcentral.
GAUCAUGGCUCAGGAUGAACGCUGGCGGCGUGCCUAACACAUGCAAGUCGAGCGAAGCACUUUGCUUAGAUUCUUCGGAUGAAGAGGAUUGUGACUGAGCGGCGGACGGGUGAGUAACGCGUGGGUAACCUGCCUCAUACAGGGGGGAUAACAGUUAGAAAUGACUGCUAAUACCGCAUAAGACCACAGCACCGCAUGGUGCGGGGGGUAAAAAACUCCGGUGGUAUGAGAUGGACCCG